GUUAGCAGCCAUAUCACCCUGCAGCCCAAGACUGGUUGCCCACUGAAGCUACUGAAAAGUAGGGUUGAGCCUGGUCAGUACCUGGAUGGGAGACCUCCUGGGAAAACUAGGUUGCUGCUGGAA
RNAcentral lists this ribosomal RNA (123 nucleotides) under Sinocyclocheilus grahami. The record is from RNAcentral. Lineage: Eukaryota; Metazoa; Chordata; Actinopteri; Cypriniformes; Cyprinidae.